GACGAACGCUGGCGGCGUGCUUAACACAUGCAAGUCGAGCGGAAAGGCCUCUUCGGGGGUACUCGAGCGGCGAACGGGUGAGUAACACGUGGGUGACCUGCCCUCAGCUCUGGGAUAAGCCUGGGAAACUGGGUCUAAUACCGGAUAUGACUCCAUGACGCAUGUCGUGGGGUGGAAAGCCUUGUGCGGCUGGGGAUGGGCCCGCGGCCUAUCAGCUUGUUGGUGGGGUGAUGGCCUACCAAGGCGACGACGGGUAGCCGGCCUGAGAGGGCGACCGGCCACACUGGGACUGAGACACGGCCCAGACUCCUACGGGAGGCAGCAGUGGGGAAUCUUGCGCAAUGGGCGAAAGCCUGACGCAGCGACGCCGCGUGAGGGAUGACGGCCU
Molecule: ribosomal RNA, 388 nt
Filed under: uncultured bacterium
Lineage: Bacteria
Description: bacterial SSU rRNA
Rfam family: Bacterial small subunit ribosomal RNA
Source: RNAcentral